This 1037-nucleotide ribosomal RNA is filed under the name Termitomyces sp. MTP_Od127. RNAcentral's name for it is "bacterial LSU rRNA". It matches the Rfam family "Bacterial large subunit ribosomal RNA", at positions 987 to 2117 of the family's 2925-position model. Lineage: Eukaryota; Fungi; Basidiomycota; Agaricomycetes; Agaricales; Lyophyllaceae. The record is from RNAcentral.
CACGGCGGGUGCUAACGUCCGUCGUGAAAAGGGAAACAACCCUAACCAUCAUCUAAGGCCCCCAAGUCACGGCUAAGUGGGAAACGAUGUGGGAUUGCUUUGACAAUCAGGAGGUUGGCUUAGAAGCAGCCAUCCUUUAAAGAAAGCGUAACAGCUCACUGAUCAAGCGAUCCUGCGCGGAAAAUGUAACGGGGCUCAAGCCGUGCGCCGAAGAUAUGGGUUUGCAGUUUACUGCAAGCGGUAGCGGAGCGUUCCGUAAGCCGGUGAAGGUCAGGCGUGAGCCUGGCUGGAGGUAUCGGAAGUGAGAAUGCUGACAUGAGUAACGAUAGGAGUGUGAGAGACACUCCCGCCGAAAGACCAAGGGUUCCUGCGUAAAGCUAAUCUGCGCAGGGUUAGUCGGCCCCUAAGGCGAGGCUGAAAAGCGUAGUCGAUGGGAAGCAGGUAAAUAUUCCUGCACCAGCUGGAAGUGACGGAUGGCAUAACUCGUACGCACUUAUUGGAUUGUGCGUGCGGGGGCGUUGUCCCUGGAAAUAACUCCAGCAGAGACCGUACCCGAAACCGACACAGGUGGUCAGGUCGAGUAGACCAAAGCGCUUGAGAGAACUCUGCUGAAGGAACUAGGCAAAAUGGUACCGUAACUUCGGGAGAAGGUACGCUGCCGACGGUGAUAGGAUUUACUCCUUGAGCUAUUGGCAGCCACAGAAACCAGGCCCCUGCAACUGUUUAUUAAAAACAUAGCACUCUGCAAACACGAAAGUGGACGUAUAGGGUGUGAUGCCUGCCCGGUGCUGGAAGGUUAAUUGAUGGGGUUAGCGUAAGCGAAGCUCUUGAUCGAAGCCCCAGUAAACGGCGGCCGUAACAAUAACGGUCCUAAGGUAGCGAAAUUCCUUGUCGGGUAAGUUCCGACCUGCACGAAUGGCGUAACGCUGGCCCUACUGUCUCGACCCGAGACUCAGUGAAGUUGAAAUCGCUGUGAAGAUGCGGCGUAGCUGCGGAAAGACGGAAAGACCCCGUGAACCUUUACUACAGCUUUACAC